GGACAGAGGACAGAGGACACACAGUUUAACAUGAUGGACUAUAGGACAGGACUGCUGCUGCUCACUGUCUGCUGGGCAGGUGUUGAUGGUCAGACUCUGACAGAAUCUGAUUCAGUGACUAAAAGGCCUGGAGAAUCUCACAGAUUGACCUGUACAGGCUCUGGAUUCACAUUCAGUAGCCACUGGAUGGCCUGGGUCAGACAGGCUCCUGGAAAAGGACUGGAGUGGGUUGCUACUAUGCACCCUACUAGCAGUGCCCACAUUUACUACUCUGAGUCAGUGAAAGGCCGGUUCACCAUCUCCAGAGACAACAGCAGACAGCAGGUGUAUCUGCAGAUGAGCAGUCUGACGGCUGUAGACUCUGCUGUUUAUUACUGUGCUCGACACACAGUGACUGAAGCUGGUUGAGCAGCUGUACAAAAA
Non-coding RNA from Trematomus bernacchii (emerald rockcod), 423 nucleotides. The record is from the annotation of a RefSeq genome assembly. NCBI's taxonomy places the organism in Eukaryota, Metazoa, Chordata, Actinopteri, Perciformes, Nototheniidae.